Small nucleolar RNA from Gossypium raimondii (Peruvian cotton), 107 nucleotides. It matches the Rfam family "Plant small nucleolar RNA R71". Rfam says of the family: R71 is a member of the C/D box family of snoRNAs containing the C (UGAUGA) and D (CUGA) box motifs. Multiple nearly identical copies of this snoRNA have been identified in Arabidopsis, and it is thought to function as a 2'-O-ribose methylation guide for 18S ribosomal RNA. The record is from Rfam. NCBI's taxonomy places the organism in Eukaryota, Viridiplantae, Streptophyta, Magnoliopsida, Malvales, Malvaceae.
AAACCAUGGUAUGGACACUUGUGCCACAUCAACUUAAAGCGCUCCCAAGCCUCAUAUAGUGAUUCUCUAUCCAAUUGUCUGAAAUUCGUAAUAUCCAUCCUAAGUUU